AUUGAACGCUGGCGGCAUGCCUUACACAUGCAAGUCGAACGGCAGCACGGGAGUAAUCCUGGUGGCGAGUGGCGAACGGGUGAGUAAUACAUCGGAACGUGCCCAGUAGUGGGGGAUAGCCCGGCGAAAGCCGGAUUAAUACCGCAUACGACCUACGGGUGAAAGCGGGGGAUCGCAAGACCUCGCGCUAUCGGAGCGGCCGAUGUCAGAUUAGGUUGUUGGUGGGGUAAAGGCCACCAAGCCGACGAUCUGUAGCUGUCUGAGAGGACGACCAGCCACACUGGGACUGAGACACGGCCAGACUCCUACGGGAGGCAGCAGUGGGGAAUUUUGGACAAGUGGGGCAACCCUGAUCCAGCCAUGCCG
Molecule: ribosomal RNA, 366 nt
Filed under: uncultured bacterium
Lineage: Bacteria
Description: bacterial SSU rRNA
Rfam family: Bacterial small subunit ribosomal RNA
Source: RNAcentral